This 57-nucleotide transfer RNA is filed under the name Panax quinquefolius. RNAcentral's name for it is "tRNA-Gln". Lineage: Eukaryota; Viridiplantae; Streptophyta; Magnoliopsida; Apiales; Araliaceae. The record is from RNAcentral.
UGGAGUAUAGCCAAGUGGUAAGGCACCGGUUUUUGGUACCGAAUCCUUUUACUCCAG